AAUUUGGAUAAACUUCAAAUAUCUUUCAUAUAAUUUUAUAUUUUUUUAUUUUAAUAUUUUAUAAUUUAAAAUAUAUUAAUUUAUUAUUUUAUAUUUUUAUUUGUUUUAUUUUGUCGACUAUUUCAUUAGCUUUUUAUUAAAUCAUAUAUAAAAAAAUUUUAGAUACUCAUUUAUAAUUUAUUAAAUAUUCACUUUAAUACUCCUUAAUUUUAACUUUGUUACUGGUUUAAUAAAAAAAAUUAGUGAAGGAAUAACAAAAAUUAAAAAAAAAAUCACAUAAUACGAAAGUGAUAUACUUUAAACCACAUUGCACUAAAUUGAGAAAGUGCGAAACUAUAUGAUUGGUAUUUGAAGUUUUUUCUAAAAUUAUGUCAAGCAUACGGUGUAUUGAGUCCAUAUAGAUUUCCAAAUAAUAU
This 416-nucleotide long non-coding RNA is filed under the name Ananas comosus (pineapple). RNAcentral describes it as "long non-coding RNA (ACOM_LNC011273)". Lineage: Eukaryota; Viridiplantae; Streptophyta; Magnoliopsida; Poales; Bromeliaceae. The record is from RNAcentral.